AAUGUCCAAAUUACUUAAAUGAAUGUUUGAAAAGUCAUUAUUCAUCAACUAUGAUUGAACAAAAUGGAUUAAUA
Pangasianodon gigas (Mekong giant catfish) is the source of this 74-nucleotide non-coding RNA. The record is from the annotation of a GenBank genome assembly. Lineage: Eukaryota; Metazoa; Chordata; Actinopteri; Siluriformes; Pangasiidae.